Rhineura floridana is the source of this 3200-nucleotide long non-coding RNA. RefSeq lists it as uncharacterized. NCBI's taxonomy places the organism in Eukaryota, Metazoa, Chordata, Lepidosauria, Squamata, Rhineuridae. The transcript is spliced from 4 exons. The record is from RefSeq and is a predicted model, not a curated record.
UGGAGAGCCAGACCACGUGGAGGGCAAGCGUGAAGGGAGCAGCAGCAGCGUGGAGGUGAAGAGCUGUGGAGCAGGAGGCCUGUGGGCCAGAGAUUCCCCACCACUGAGCUCAACUGAACCACAGAAAGCAGUGAACAACGGGAACAGACACUGACCUAGAUGAAUUUCACUUUUGCCCCAGAUUUUUCAUGAAAGUCAUUGUUUGCGGCCAGGAAAAUUGGAAUUGGUACAGGAUUUCUCCUGUUGAGCUCAAACUUUCUUAGUUUUGACCUACUUUCCCCAACAUCAUAGCCUACUCCCACCUUAAACACAGAUAAGAAGAACUUUACAUUUGUACUGCUUUCACUGCCACUUCAAGGGAGAUCACACAACUGCUGAUUCUCUGUCCCUAAUGAUGAGAGGAAAGCUGAGACUACCACUCACUUUGCAAAAUAACGCAAGGAUUAUUCUGCUUUGAUAAGGACUAUCCAACUAUUUCUGCCCUGGAAACAUUUCUGGUUCUGAAGUACAGAAGCGCACUGUCCUAGGAUGCUUCUAGUGGAUCUUCCAGUGGCAACUGAACUCUAAACUAUCAUCAGAGAUAUGUAUAUCACCUACAGAAGGAGAGGUUGCUGCUGUGCCAAAAAUGACCCCUGCAUUUUUUCCUACCAUUCUCCAUCAAUUAUUGAGAAAAGAAAUUGCAUUUGAAAAUUAUCAAAGGGGUAGAGCCUUCCCAGGUGUCCAAGUGUCAAUCAAAGCCCAGAGGAAGGUAUCACCAGAAAACUCCCAUGGGGCUUUUUCAAAUCAGGAAGGGUGGGCAGUUGGACUGGCUGCAGAACAUUGGAGGAAUGCUUAUUGGAAAGAAAGGCAUACCCACACCCUCAGCCACCUCACAACAAUAAGGACAUACGGAGAUGAAUGAGCUCUUACAACACGUCGAAGUGAAAGAAAACAUUUCUUUCUGCGCCAGAGCAGAUGAGAUUCAUCAUUAAGAGAAUGGAUUUGACCUUGUCAAGUGGACUAAAGUAAUUUAUAAACAACGCCUUUGGAGGAGACUACUUUCAACUGAGUCUGAGCUAGCAGGUUUUUAGCUAGGCCCAUGGCUACUUUAUGAUAACUGUAGCUGUAGAUGUACAAGCAAGAUAAUAAUAUAUGCCUGCAAUAAUAUAUGGCGCUGCUCAAUGGUACCUUUGAUUACAACUCCCACAGAGACUUUCAGAAUGAGAAUCCCCAAGCAGCAGUGAGAUAGGUCUCAGUGCUAGAGAAUUCACAAGUAACUUGGAAAGCAGGUGCAGGAGCAUCUCAGUGAGACAAAUCUCACUGCUAGUGCCACAGCACAAAUCUUGCUUCCAAGCUGCAGAUGAGACUUUUGCACUUAGUGUGAAGGGUAGGGUUGCCAUAUCUCUUUGUCCAGCAGGGCUGUUGUGCCUUUAACAGCUGCAAGGUACACAUUCCAAAAAAUGAAGAAGUUCCCCUCACUGUAAAUCUCCAUGCUAGGGGAAAAAAAUCACCUGUUGAAUUUCUGCCUGACACAGCAACUCUGUUAGAAAAAAAAGUCAGGAUCCCCUGAAACUGGGGAACCCUUAGAAACCUGUCUGGGCUUAAUAUCAUAUUCUGAAGCUCACCUCAUGGGCCCACAAUGACAAAGUGUUAGAUUAGUGUUGGGCACUAGGACAGGGCCUUUUCAGUGGUGGCCAAUAGUAGCCUAGGUGCUGGAGCCACAAAGCCACCUCCAUCCUGACACUGGCAUUGCUGCAGUUUAUUUGGAUGGGGCUGGGGCUGUUGGGCUUAAAUGAGAUAGAAACAGUUUAGUAGUUCUGUCUCUUAGCAGCAGGGCCAGCGUGCACAUGCCUACCAUCAACCAAGAUGGCAGCGGGGCAUCAGCCCCUUAGGGAAGCCUCGGCCACCAUCUUGGUUGAUGGCAGGCAGGCUCCCGCAGCUUGGCCAGCAUUUACCUCAAGGGAAAGGUAGGGGAGUGUGCAAGCAGGUGUUGCUGGCGUGUACGGUAGUAUGGGGGGUGUCUGGGAGCUCCUUCACUGCGAUUCAUGGCAGGGUCGGAAGCCAACUCUGCCAUGGAUCAUGGAAGGGAGCAUUACCCACCCACCCUAAGGAGGAGCCCUUCAGGGCCCCCAAAGCCAGGGCCUGACCUGGCCACCCUCUGGCACCAGCCCUGCUUAGCAGAGUAUCUUUAGUAAAAUGGAAUGAGAAUUAAGCAGCCCACAUUCACCUCAUACAGACUAGCUGAAUAAAGCACAGAGACAGUCUUCUUUUGGUAAAAGUAUUAAAAUGUUUACUCAUGAUAUUCCAUAUGUUCAGGAAACAUAGGGUCUAGCUUGGAGAGAAAAGACAGAAGUAGGGAGUAGAUUUUAGUCCAUGAUUGGGAUGUUCCAGGAGGCUUCUCUUUCCUGUGGCUUAAUGGAGGAUAUACAGGGAAGAAAACAACAACUCUUAACAAAGAAGAGGAAAUAGCACUUGGUCAACACGAAGUUACAUCACAUCUGGCUUAGAAGGGACCUCUCCCUACUAAAGCAUGCAUGCUUGCUUAUCCCAAAAGGGGCAAGGCAGGAUGGCAGUGAGUUCAGGACUGAGUGAAUUCACUGGGAGGAGUGUUGGAUUAGCCCCAUUGAUGCACUUGCUCUAUUCAGCCUUGCUUCCACUCUGUCCUGCCCCAGUCAUAUCCUGAUAAGCUACAGUGCUGCCAGUAUCAGGAGGGCACUGUCAUGGCUCUGCCCCAUCAUAUGGCCCCAUACCUAUGGUACUCCCUCCCUAAAUAGGUAUGGUCCUACACUAAUGACUUUCAAAUGGGCCCUGAAGACUUUUUUUCCUUCCACAGUGCUUUUACUUGAUCUUUUAAGAUCUGCAUUUGACUGCUGCUGUUUUAAACACUGUGUGUUCUGACUCUUUUUGUAUUCCUACUGUUUCUCUGCUGACAUUGUUCAUCUGCUAUUCUUAUGACGUUUUAGUUGUUUUAUGGCAGGGGUAGUCAACAUGGUGUCUUCCAGAUGUUGUUGGACUCCAAUUUGCAUCAGCUCCAGCCAGCAUGGCCAAAGAUCAGGGUUGAAAGGAAUUGUAUUCCAGCAACAUUUGGAAGGGCACCACACUGAGUACCCUUGCAGAUUGCAUUUUAUGGUUUGCAAUACGCUAUAAAUGAAUGUUAUGCUUUUAAUAUGUUGCCAGCCCAAUUCAUCAAUGGUGGCCUAUAUAUUAUGAAAUUAAACAGA